RNAcentral lists this long non-coding RNA (1583 nucleotides) under Linum usitatissimum (flax). RNAcentral describes it as "long non-coding RNA (LUSI_LNC004492)". Lineage: Eukaryota; Viridiplantae; Streptophyta; Magnoliopsida; Malpighiales; Linaceae. The record is from RNAcentral.
AACUCUCUCUUACUCUCCUUCUCCGACGAUGGCGGCGGCGGCACCGCUCCUCCUUUCCAUCUUCUUUCAUCCUCUUUCUUUCCCUUCUCCUCUCUUCUCUUCACCAGCGGUGGCCGCAGCAUCGCCGUUCUUCUUCCCCCCUUUUUUCGUUUUUCUUCUCUUCCUUUCUUUCUCCGAUUUCUUCUUUUUCUCCGUUUUCUCCUUCUUUCCUCCUUUGUCUUCUCCUUCUCUUCUUUUUUAUUUGUCGUCGUCGCUCUUUCUUUCGUUUUUUUUUCUCUAUCCUACUUUUCUCCUUUUCCUCCCUCUUGUUUAUCCCCUUUCUGUCCUGCGCUCAUCACUCUUUGCGGCGUCCCAACCACCUCUCCCUCAACAGCAAUGAAGAAAAAAAUUAUGUAAAAAUUCAAAUCUGUCUCCCUCUAUUUUAUUUUCUUAAUUUUAGCCGGAUCUGGACUUGCAUGUCUUCGGAUGAUGCCUCCGGCGAGUCCUCCAACGACAUGCAAACCCCGAUCUAAAAAUCUAGAGUUUAAAUAUUGUUUACAUAGCUUUUUGUGAUUCCUAUGGUUUGGUUUUGUUUUUUUCUUGGGAAUCGACAGAGAGGGAGGUGACUAAGUAGAGACGAAGAAGAAAGGCAAAAAAGAAUAAAAAAUCGUCGUAGACGACGGAUCUGCCGGCCUGAGAAGAGGUGGCCGGGAAAGGGAAAAAAACCUCAGCUUUUAUUUAUUCUGAUUUUGCUUGGUAGAUGGUGAAUUUCGCGUUGAUGAGGUCACUUAAAAUAUAUAAAAGAAACUUGACUAUUUUGUUGCUAAAAUGAACUUAGUGAUAUAAACACCCUAAAAUCUAUCAUUUUGCUUGAAAAUUUGAUUAUUUUGUCAUCUUGAAUAAAAUUCCACCAAUGAUGUUGAACAGAAAACACUCAUUUUAGCUCGAUUUUAGCACUAUGUUGUGAGUAGCUUUACAGUUCUUGAGUCCUUGGUGCAAAUGGUGUAAAAUGAUGAUAGAUGGUAUUUUAGUCUCUUGUUAAUAUAUCUUCGAGCAGGUUUUAUUUGUUUUAGGAUGUUUAUUUUACUGUUUAGUCCAUUGUUUGUUAAAAUGAAUCAACUUUCCUCUUAGUUGUAAGGAAAACUAGAUUAGGAGAGGCUUUAAAUGACAUAGCAUCACAGAAAAAUCCAAAGCAUGAGUUGAGAAUAUGAAUGAUAUGUGAAUGAUCAAAAAGAGGGAUGUUUGUGAAUGGUAUCAAGGCUUUUUGUCGUGUUUCAGGUGGCGGUGCCCUUCCUCGUCUCCUAACUUUUGGGACGAAUCCUCGUUUGGCGGCUUCUACGUGGGUGACAGCCGCAGACAUUUGUAAUUUUUAUCUUUAGUGUUUUGUAAUAUUUAUAUUUGGGACUUUGUGGGUUGAGGGUGUUUGUAAUGUUUUGGGAUUGGGAAAGUAUUCUGGGGAUUUUAAUUUCUGCAUCCAAACUUCUACCUUAUACUCUCUGUCGUCUCUUUUGUGGUCUUGCUAGCUUUUGAAAUGAAAAGGGUUGCCACCUCCCUUGUCUUCCAAACGAAGGGAGCUGGCUGGUCGCUGAAACACAAAAGCAUCG